AUUGAACGCUGGCGGCAUGCCUUACGCAUGCAAGUCGAACGGUAACAGGUCUUCGGAUGCUGACGAGUGGCGAACGGGUGAGUAAUACAUCGGAACGUGCCUAGUAGUGGGGGAUAACUACUCGAAAGAGUGGCUAAUACCGCAUGAGAUCUACGGAUGAAAGCAGGGGAUCGCAAGACCUUGUGCUACUAGAGCGGCCGAUGGCAGAUUAGGUAGUUGGUGGGAUAAAAGCUUACCAAGCCGACGAUCUGUAGCUGGUCUGAGAGGACGAUCAGCCACACUGGGACCGAGAAACGGCCCAGACUCCUACGGGAGGCAGCAGUGGGGAAUUUUGGACAAUGGGCGCAAGCCUGAUCCAGCAAUACCGCGUGCAGGAUGAAGGCCUUCGGGUUGUAAACUGCUUUUGUACGGAACGAAAAGCCCCGGGUUAAUACCCUGGGGUCAUGACGGUACCGUAAGAAUAAGCACCGGCUAACUACGUGCCAGCCGCCGCAGUAA
RNAcentral lists this ribosomal RNA (498 nucleotides) under uncultured bacterium. RNAcentral describes it as "partial 16S ribosomal RNA". It matches the Rfam family "Bacterial small subunit ribosomal RNA", at positions 30 to 523 of the family's 1533-position model. The record is from RNAcentral.